UGGGGAAUAUUGCACAAUGGGGGAAACCCUGAUGCAGCCAUGCCGCGUGUGUGAAGAAGGCCUUCGGGUUGUAAAGCACUUUCAGUGGGGAGGAAGGGGUUAUGCCUAAUACGCAUCAUCAUUGACGUUACCCACAGAAGAAGCACCGGCUAACUCCGUGCCAGCAGCCGCGGUAAUACGGAGGGUGCAAGCGUUAAUCGGAAUAACUGGGCGUAAAGCGCACGCAGGCGGUUAGAUAAGUCAGAUGUGAAAUCCCCGGGCUCAACCUGGGAACUGCAUUUGAAACUGUCUGACUAGAGUCUUGUAGAGGGGGGUAGAAGUCCAGGUGUAGCGGUGAAAUGCGUAGAGAUCUGGAGGAAUACCGGUGGCGAAGGCGGCCCCCUGGACAAAGACUGACGCUAAGGUGAGAAAGCGUGGGGAGCAAACA
RNAcentral lists this ribosomal RNA (427 nucleotides) under uncultured prokaryote. RNAcentral's name for it is "bacterial SSU rRNA". It matches the Rfam family "Bacterial small subunit ribosomal RNA", at positions 355 to 774 of the family's 1533-position model. The record is from RNAcentral.